RNAcentral lists this ribosomal RNA (263 nucleotides) under uncultured archaeon. Its description in RNAcentral is "partial 16S ribosomal RNA". It matches the Rfam family "Archaeal small subunit ribosomal RNA", at positions 748 to 1008 of the family's 1478-position model. The record is from RNAcentral.
AGGGUGUAAAACGCUGCAGACUUGGUGUUGGGAACCCUUCGGGGGUGCUCAGUGCCGGAGAGAAGUUGUUAAGUCUGCUACUUGGGGAGUACGUCCGCAAGGAUGAAACUUAAAGGAAUUGGCGGGGGAGCACCGCAACGGGAGGAGCGUGCGGUUUAAUUGGAUUCAACGCCGAAAAACUCACCAGCAGCGACUGUUACAUGAAGGUCAGGUUGAUGACCUUACUAGAUUUUUCAGAGAGGAGGUGCAUGGCGUCAGUGACU